This is a small nucleolar RNA of Pan troglodytes (chimpanzee), 100 nucleotides long. It matches the Rfam family "Small nucleolar RNA U13". The record is from Rfam. Lineage: Eukaryota; Metazoa; Chordata; Mammalia; Primates; Hominidae.
AUUUUUUUGUAGUUCAUAAGCAUAAUGAUUGGGUAUUCAUAGUCAUAUGUGAGAUGUGCCAACCUCAAUCUCUAUGCUACAGUAUAUAAAGUAUACUAUA